This 539-nucleotide ribosomal RNA is filed under the name uncultured Methylococcaceae bacterium. Its description in RNAcentral is "partial 16S ribosomal RNA". It matches the Rfam family "Bacterial small subunit ribosomal RNA", at positions 860 to 1377 of the family's 1533-position model. Lineage: Bacteria; Pseudomonadati; Pseudomonadota; Gammaproteobacteria; Methylococcales; Methylococcaceae. The record is from RNAcentral.
UUAAGUCGACCGCCUGGGGAGUACGGCCGCAAGGUUAAAACUCAAAUGAAUUGACCGGGGGCCNCGCCACAANGCCGGUGGAGCAUGUGGUUUAAUUCCGAUGGCUAACGCGAANGAACCUUACCUACCCUUGACAUCCAGAGAAUCUGUUAGAGAUAGUNAGAGUGGCCCUUCGGGAACUNCUGAGACAGGUGCUNGCAUGGCUGUCGUCAGCUCGNUGUCGUGAGAUGUUGGGUUAAGUCCCGUAACGAGCGCAACCCUUAUCCUUAGUUGCCAGCNNGGGUAAUGCNCGGGAACUCUAGGGAGACUGCCNGGUGAUAAAACCGGAGGAAGGUGGGGACGACGUCAAGUCAUCAUGGCCCUUAUGGGUAGNGGCUACACACGUGCUACAAUGGCCGGUACAGAGGGCUGCGAACUUGCGAAAGUAAGCAAAUCCCAGAAAGCCGGUCCUAGUCCGGAUUGGAGUCUGCAACUCGACUCCAUGAAGUCGGAAUCGCUAGUAACCGCGAAUCAGAAUGUCGCGGUGAAUACGUUCCCGG